This is a small nuclear RNA of Jaculus jaculus (lesser Egyptian jerboa), 107 nucleotides long. The record is from Ensembl. NCBI's taxonomy places the organism in Eukaryota, Metazoa, Chordata, Mammalia, Rodentia, Dipodidae.
GUUCUAGCGUCAGCAGCACUUAUGCUAAAAUCGGAACAAUACUGAGAAGAUUAACGUGGUCCCUGCACAGCAAGGACAGGCAAAUUCCUGAAGGAUUCCGCAUUUUU